Molecule: ribosomal RNA, 428 nt
Filed under: uncultured bacterium
Lineage: Bacteria
Description: bacterial SSU rRNA
Rfam family: Bacterial small subunit ribosomal RNA
Source: RNAcentral
GAUGAACGCUGGCGGCGUGCUUAACACAUGCAAGUCGAACGGGAUCCCAGGAGCUUGCUCCUGGGUGAGAGUGGCGAACGGGUGAGUAAUGCGUGACCGACCUGCCCCAUACACCGGAAUAGCUCCUGGAAACGGGUGGUAAUGCCGGAUGCUCCAGUUGGAUGCAUGUCCUUCUGGGAAAGAUUCAUCGGUAUGGGAUGGGGUCGCGUCCUAUCAGCUUGAUGGCGGGGUAACGGCCCACCAUGGCUUCGACGGGUAGCCGGCCUGAGAGGGCGACCGGCCACAUUGGGACUGAGAUACGGCCCAGACUCCUACGGGAGGCAGCAGUGGGGAAUAUUGCACAAUGGGCGCAAGCCUGAUGCAGCGACGCCGCGUGCGGGAUGACGGCCUUCGGGUUGUAAACCGCUUUUGACUGGGAGCAAGCCCUU